This 592-nucleotide unclassified non-coding RNA is filed under the name Aspergillus fumigatus. RNAcentral describes it as "sequence contains 18S rRNA gene, ITS1, 5.8S rRNA gene, ITS2, 28S rRNA gene". The stretch from base 229 to 382 matches the Rfam family "5.8S ribosomal RNA". The record is from RNAcentral. Lineage: Eukaryota; Fungi; Ascomycota; Eurotiomycetes; Eurotiales; Aspergillaceae.
UCGUAACAAGGUUUCCGUAGGUGAACCUGCGGAAGGAUCAUUACCGAGUGAGGGCCCUCUGGGUCCAACCUCCCACCCGUGUCUAUCGUACCUUGUUGCUUCGGCGGGCCCGCCGUUUCGACGGCCGCCGGGGAGGCCUUGCGCCCCCGGGCCCGCGCCCGCCGAAGACCCCAACAUGAACGCUGUUCUGAAAGUAUGCAGUCUGAGUUGAUUAUCGUAAUCAGUUAAAACUUUCAACAACGGAUCUCUUGGUUCCGGCAUCGAUGAAGAACGCAGCGAAAUGCGAUAAGUAAUGUGAAUUGCAGAAUUCAGUGAAUCAUCGAGUCUUUGAACGCACAUUGCGCCCCCUGGUAUUCCGGGGGGCAUGCCUGUCCGAGCGUCAUUGCUGCCCUCAAGCACGGCUUGUGUGUUGGGCCCCCGUCCCCCUCUCCCGGGGGACGGGCCCGAAAGGCAGCGGCGGCACCGCGUCCGGUCCUCGAGCGUAUGGGGCUUUGUCACCUGCUCUGUAGGCCCGGCCGGCGCCAGCCGACACCCAACUUUAUUUUUCUAAGGUUGACCUCGGAUCAGGUAGGGAUACCCGCUGAACUUAAGC